AAAGUCGUAACAAGGUUUCCGUAGGUGAACCUGCGGAAGGAUCAUUAUCAUAAUCCUACCAUUAUCAACCAACCGUGAACUGUUACUCUGUUUGUCGUUUUUUAGUUUAACGCUUGUUCUUUCGGGUUCAGGUGUUUUAGCUGGAAGCAAUUUCAGUUAAUUUAUAAACUAAGAAACAUUUUAUUUAACCCCUUUUUAAUAACAUUUGUUUGAUGCAUGUGUUUCCUACCUAGUCGUAAAAAAACUGGGAUGAAACCAAUCAUGUUUCUAAUGAAACUUUGAACAACUCUUAGCAACGGAUCUCUAGGCUCUC
RNAcentral lists this unclassified non-coding RNA (313 nucleotides) under Basidiomycota sp. RNAcentral's name for it is "partial contains small subunit ribosomal RNA, internal transcribed spacer 1, and 5.8S ribosomal RNA". The stretch from base 1 to 47 matches the Rfam family "Eukaryotic small subunit ribosomal RNA", at positions 1785 to 1831 of the family's 1831-position model. The record is from RNAcentral. Lineage: Eukaryota; Fungi; Basidiomycota.